RNAcentral lists this ribosomal RNA (702 nucleotides) under Triticum aestivum (bread wheat). Its description in RNAcentral is "partial small subunit ribosomal RNA". Lineage: Eukaryota; Viridiplantae; Streptophyta; Magnoliopsida; Poales; Poaceae. The record is from RNAcentral.
AUGGAACACUUCCGUUUCCUGGUCAUCCUCUCACUCUCUGGCUUGGCCAUGGCCUUGCAGCUAAUCAGCCCGUGCAACGCUGCGCAAGCUCAGCCGCAGGCGAUCUACGACACAGAUGGCCAUGAGCUAACAAGCCACAACAUGUACAACAUCAUGCCGGUGGACCGCAAUCUGAGCGACCAAUGUGUCUACGUUAGCUCAUUACGGGACCCCAGAUGUCGUAUGCGUGCGAUUCUAACACCGUGCAAGAAGUUUGGCAGGAAUCCAGACGGGUAUGUUUCGAUCAAGCUGGCGGAGGGGAGCUCCAGCUCCAGCACGGAGGCGUCACCUCGCCUCUCGACCGACGUCGUGAUCGAGUUUCGCGGCGUGGUCACCUGGUGCAUGCAUCGUCUCCAGUGGUACGCCCACGGAGGGAUCACCAACCAGACGCAUGUGACAGUCGACCGCCCCGAAGGGAUGGAGGGGUGCGAAGCGCCGGCAGGCACAUGCAAGAAGAGUUUCAUGUUUCGCGUCGAGAAGCACGGCACCGGGUACAAGCUGAUGUCGUGCUUCCAUGCGCCGUGCCGCGAUCUGGUGUUGUUCGACUACAAUGGACACAGGUGGCUGACCGUAGAGAAAGAUGGGCGUGAGCCUCUGGUGGUUGUGUUCAAGAAGUUCCAUCUCGCCAGCUUGCCUCCUGCAAAUCCUCCCCAACUAGGCUAG